This 192-nucleotide small RNA is filed under the name Arabidopsis thaliana (thale cress). RNAcentral describes it as "ATSL200510". The record is from RNAcentral. Lineage: Eukaryota; Viridiplantae; Streptophyta; Magnoliopsida; Brassicales; Brassicaceae.
UUAGCUUCCUUAAACCCUAAACCCUAAACCCUUAACCCUAAAUCCUCAACCCUAACCCUAAACCCUAAACUUUAAAAUCUAAAUCCUAAACCCUAACCUUAAACCCUAAACCCUAAACCUGAAAUCCUAAUUUAUAUUCCGAGAUCUAGUUGUAGUUCUAGUUCGGAUACUCAAUGAUACACAAAGAAUCUA